GACGAACGCUGGCGGCGUGCUUAACACAUGCAAGUCGAACGGAAAGGCCCUGCUUUUGUGGGGUGCUCGAGUGGCGAACGGGUGAGUAACACGUGAGUAACCUGCCCUUGACUUUGGGAUAACUUCAGGAAACUGGGGCUAAUACCGGAUAGGAGCUCCUGCUGCAUGGUGGGGGUUGGAAAGUUUCGGCGGUUGGGGAUGGACUCGCGGCUUAUCAGCUUGUUGGUGGGGUAGUGGCUUACCAAGGCUUUGACGGGUAGCCGGCCUGAGAGGGUGACCGGCCACAUUGGUACUGAGGGACGGCCCAGACUCCUACGGGAGGCAGCAGUGGGGAGUAUUGCACAAUGGGCGGGAGCCUGAUGCAGCAACGCCGCGUGCGGGAUGACGGCCUUCGGGUUGUAAACCGCUUUCGCCUGUGACGAAGCGUGAGUGACGGUAAUUGGUAAAGAAGCACCGGCUAACUACGUG
RNAcentral lists this ribosomal RNA (468 nucleotides) under uncultured bacterium. Its description in RNAcentral is "partial 16S ribosomal RNA". It matches the Rfam family "Bacterial small subunit ribosomal RNA", at positions 28 to 507 of the family's 1533-position model. The record is from RNAcentral.